CAGCAGCCGCGGUAAUACGGAGGGGGCUAGCGUUGUUCGGAAUUACUGGGCGUAAAGCGCACGUAGGCGGCUUGGUAAGUUAGAGGUGAAAGCCCGGAGCUCAACUCCGGAAUUGCCUUUAAGACUGCCGAGCUAGCAGGUGAGAGAGGUAAGUGGAAUUCCGAGUGUAGAGGUGAAAUUCGUAGAUAUUCGGAAGAACACCAGUGGCGAAGGCGGCUUACUGGCUCAUACUGGACGCUGAGGUGCGAAAGCGUGGGGAGCAAACAGGAUUAGAUACCCCUGUAGUCCCUGUCUCUUAUAA
This 301-nucleotide ribosomal RNA is filed under the name uncultured bacterium. Its description in RNAcentral is "partial 16S ribosomal RNA". It matches the Rfam family "Bacterial small subunit ribosomal RNA", at positions 509 to 809 of the family's 1533-position model. The record is from RNAcentral.